This 352-nucleotide long non-coding RNA is filed under the name Zostera marina. Its description in RNAcentral is "long non-coding RNA (ZMAR_LNC004889)". Lineage: Eukaryota; Viridiplantae; Streptophyta; Magnoliopsida; Alismatales; Zosteraceae. The record is from RNAcentral.
UAUCUUCUACCAUCGGCCCUUUGGGGAAAGUCGUCCUUGCGUUCCAAUCCUCCGUCUAACAGCUUCGAUCUCUGCCGUCGACCGAUCAUCGUUGUUACAGUAACCAACUAAUCUAACUGUAUACAUUAACUAAUGACUAAUUAACCAAUUAGAUAAUACAUUUGACCAUCGAUUUAUAUCUGAGUUGUUCUAAUACCUCCCCUCCCCCCUUCAAGCUUUAGCUUGGGAGUAAAUAUUUUUAAUUCACAUAUUGACUAAAGUAUAUAAGUUAUUUUAUUUUCACGAACUGGUUUGGUUAGGGUUGUAUGUAUGCUAGUUGUCUUUUAAUUUCUAUGAAAAUUAAUUUUAUAAU